Molecule: long non-coding RNA, 1474 nt
Organism: Stylophora pistillata
Lineage: Eukaryota; Metazoa; Cnidaria; Anthozoa; Scleractinia; Pocilloporidae
Source: RefSeq, a predicted model, not a curated record
AACGUCGUGAAGCUUGCCACAAACGAAAGGGAAAGCGAGGAACCCUUUUUCAUUUCUUGCCAUUGAGUGCUCUACUCCGAAUUUCGACUAAGAGGCUCCACAAUUCAAAUGAUAGGCUGGGUCAGCGGCAAAGAAAAAAAUAUAAGGCCUUACGAGCCAUUAAGAGUCGUUUACUUAGAUAGAUCAUGUUGUCUAAGGAUUUGACAUUCCAGAACCUCCAGCGUGCAUGGAAGAAUUGGGAAUGGCAAAAUCCCUGACGCGGCCAUAGCCGCUUCCAGCAUUUACAACCCAAGCUAUAAAUCCAGCAAUGGUCAGCUGUACAAUUAUCCGGCUGGUUGGGUAGCUCGUACCACAGAUCUCCAACAAUGGUUUCAAGUAGAUUUUGGAGACUUGACCCUGGUGAAAAGAAUCUGCACCCAAGGUGAUGCAAUCUGCACCCAAGGUGAUGCAAACAAUAACAACUAAAACAACUAUGGUUUUUAAGGAUUAUCAGGCGGAUAGUCUUUCAAAGCUGCUUGAAAGCCACUAGGCUGCUAUAUAAUGAAAGCUAAAGCGCUCGAUGAGUAUUUCCUGAGAGCAGGAAGCAUCUCUCAGAUAAGCAAGAGAUUCAGCGCAUGCGGAAAGGAGGCCAAGGCUAAAGGAAUCAAAUUGUUUGGUAUGGAUGACAAGCGAUGCUGGACAAGUGAUGACCCAGAGAAAUCCUUCAAAAAGUUUGGGAAAUCGGGAUUGUGCAUGGCGAAGAAAGAGUAUGGCACUGGCUUUACAAAGUCACUCACAGUGUUCGUAUACCGCAUGGAUGACAAAGGGUGUCCUGAUAUGGAUGAGGCAUUGAAAAUAAAGCAUGGAAGUGUACGGAAAUAAAAAGGAAAAAGCAAACAGUAACUUAAAGUAUUGAUAUGCUGGUGAGCCGCCAUGUUAAUUUGGACUGCAUAACGCAUGCUCGGAGAGUGAAGACUGAGGAAAACUUACAAGAAAAAUACUUCGAAAAGAUAACGUAGUUGUUGAGAAAAGAUUGUUGGAAAUCAAUGCAAGAGGUAACAAUUGUAACCUAGACCCACAAAUAGCGUUUCCCGUUGUUCGAUUUUGAAUUUUUAAAAACAAAUCGGUAUUUCGUAGUAAACGCAGAGCUCUCAAAUUUUAAAAUGAAAUUACCCGGAGAUGAACAAAAUUUAUGUUCAUUUUGUGGAGGAGCUCAAUAACCAACAGUAAUAAUUUAGGAAGGCAAAUGUUCAAAAUCUAGGACUGGUUCCGUUGUUAGGAAGGACACUUCCAGUGACUCUAUGAAACCUGUCGGUUGAAUUGAGUAGAUUCUUUCGCUGUCAAAUCUGGCCGAGCCUUAACUUUUUGGUUGAAAUUUUCUAACUUAAAAGUUAUUGCGAUGAGAUUAUAUAUAGUUCUUUCUUUUCUUAAUCUUUUCUUCUUCGUAGAAUUGGUUUUGUCCUAAUUUCAACUUCGCCUACUUAUGUUCUGUGAG